This 200-nucleotide long non-coding RNA is filed under the name Elaeis guineensis (African oil palm). RNAcentral describes it as "long non-coding RNA (EGUI_LNC020776)". The record is from RNAcentral. Lineage: Eukaryota; Viridiplantae; Streptophyta; Magnoliopsida; Arecales; Arecaceae.
AGAGAGAGAGAGAGAGAGGAGAGGCGGGCGGUGGAGGUGGGGGAGGAGCUGCGGGGUUAUUUAUAAUUUAUAGGUGCCGCGUCUCUUUUGCUUACAAUCUACAGCAGAGUCUUCGUUCUCCUUUUUUCAUUUUCUUUUCUUUUCUUUUCUUUUUUCCUUCCCUCUUCGUGUGCGCUCGCUUGGUUUUAUUGCCGUUUUCG